Molecule: transfer RNA, 73 nt
Filed under: Planctomycetaceae bacterium
Lineage: Bacteria; Pseudomonadati; Planctomycetota; Planctomycetia; Planctomycetales; Planctomycetaceae
Description: tRNA-Thr
Rfam family: tRNA
About the family: Transfer RNA (tRNA) molecules are approximately 80 nucleotides in length. Their secondary structure includes four short double-helical elements and three loops (D, anti-codon, and T loops). Further hydrogen bonds mediate the characteristic L-shaped molecular structure. tRNAs have two regions of fundamental functional importance: the anti-codon, which is responsible for specific mRNA codon recognition, and the 3' end, to which the tRNAs corresponding amino acid is attached (by aminoacyl-tRNA synthetases). tRNAs cope with the degeneracy of the genetic code in two manners: having more than one tRNA (with a specific anti-codon) for a particular amino acid; and 'wobble' base-pairing, i.e. permitting non-standard base-pairing at the 3rd anti-codon position.
Source: RNAcentral
GCUGUUGUAGCUCAGCCGGCAGAGCACGUCCUUGGUAAGGACGAGGUCGUGAGUUCGAAUCUCACCAACAGCU